CUUUUCCGUCUCUUGAGUGCAAGAUAAAGAAGAACGAUGGUGGGCUUUCACAGGAAUACGAUGAAUCCUGACCAUCACGGUGUCUGCAUUGACGGUACAAUACAGGUCAAAGGGAUGAGCUACUCUAUGAAGAACAAGUGGACCUCUUGAAGGCUUGGAGCAUCUGGGCCGACCCGUGAGAUGCUGUAUGCAAACCAGUGGACUUUCUGGAGGUUUGCAGUUUCUUAACAAACUGGGUUGAAUAUGAGCAAUGGACCUUCUGGAGUUGUUAUACAUAUUGAAGUGGAUGGUUUCGUAACAAAUCUGCCGGUAAGUCAAGACUUCAACACAUUUUAUUAAUCUUUCUGUAGUAUAUUACCCAUGGCAGCAUGCUAUCCUAAGGACCUGGGCUUUGUAGCCUCUGGUUCUCCAAGUGCAUGCCAGAGAAACGGGCAGUCUUUGACUGUCCUGGCCUUUGUGCUUGAGGCAGUCACUCUACUGUCCUACAAAUAUUGUAACCUAUUAAUUUUGCCUUGACUGAUUUUAAUUUACAUUUUGCUUUUAUUAACUGCACUUGAGUUCCUCAUGUCUGAUUUCAUCUUUCUGCAGAUGACGCGUCAGUGUGGUGUUGCCCCAAUCAAAGUCGUCUGGGAAGUGUUGUCAAGGUGUGAACCAAUUAGUCAUUUUUUUUGAAGGACCUGUUCUGAUCAAUGAUGACACCUUACUGUGUGACUGUUGGAUGAAACCUGCGGAUAUGGGACUUAGAUCACAGCUACUCUAAAACUGCUAUGAUGGGGCAUAUGAGGACACUAACUUGUAUUUUAUUCUAAGGCCUUGCAACUGGUGACAUGCGUGACAGCAUUGUCAAAUUCCACAUCACAACACGAUGCACGCCGGUACUCGUGUGUAGGUAUGUAGUUGACUAGUUCCUGACUCCUCGACAGGUUGUUCUGAUCAAUGAUUGAUAACAAAACUUGAAAUUGUGACUGUUGGAUGAAACAUGCGGAUAUGGGACUGAGAUCAGGACUCAUGGCAAGUAGUGACAUUUGGAUGAGUCUUCUGGAACUAAAAUCAUACCCCUGUAUUUCUGUUUUGUUAUUAGAUGUGCUAAGAUGGCUGAAGACCAGUCUGGACCAAGGGCUUUCUGGCCUGCCCCUUCAGUUAGAAGAAACCCAACGAGUCUAUUUUAAAUAAACUCUCAAAACCUUGAA
Long non-coding RNA from Esox lucius (northern pike), 1190 nucleotides. Lineage: Eukaryota; Metazoa; Chordata; Actinopteri; Esociformes; Esocidae. The record is from Ensembl.